GUGUCAGCAGCCGCGGUAAUACGUAGGGUGCGAGCGUUGUCCGGAAUUACUGGGCGUAAAGAGCUUGUAGGUGGUUUGUCGCGUUGUUCGUGAAAUCUCACGGCUUAACUGUGAGCGUGCGGGCGAUACGGGCAGACUAGAGUACUGCAGGGGAGACUGGAAUUCCUGGUGUAGCGGUGGAAUGCGCAGAUAUCAGGAGGAACACCGGUGGCGAAGGCGGGUCUCUGGGCAGUAACUGACGCUGAGAAGCGAAAGCGUGGGGAGCGAACAGGAUUAGAUACCCCUGUAGUCC
This 292-nucleotide ribosomal RNA is filed under the name uncultured bacterium. RNAcentral describes it as "partial 16S ribosomal RNA". It matches the Rfam family "Bacterial small subunit ribosomal RNA", at positions 505 to 796 of the family's 1533-position model. The record is from RNAcentral.